AUUGAACGCUGGCGGCAUGCCUUACACAUGCAAGUCGAACGGUAACAGGUCUUCGGAUGCUGACGAGUGGCGAACGGGUGAGUAAUACAUCGGAACGUGCCUAGUAGUGGGGGAUAACUACUCGAAAGAGUGGCUAAUACCGCAUGAGAUCUACGGAUGAAAGCAGGGGAUCGCAAGACCUUGUGCUACUAGAGCGGCCGAUGGCAGAUUAGGUAGUUGGUGGGAUAAAAGCUUACCAAGCCGACGAUCUGUAGCUGGACUGAGAGGACGAUCAGCCACACUGGGACUGAGACACGGCCCAGACUCCUACGGGAGGCAGCAGUGGGGAAUUUUGGACAAUGGGCGCAAGCCUGAUCCAGCAAUGCCGCGUGCAGGAUGAAGGCCUUCGGGUUGUAAACUGCCUUUGUACGGAACGAAAAGCCCCGGGUUAAUACCCUGGGGUCAUGACGGUACCGUAAGAAUAAGCACCGGCUAACUACGUGCCAGCCGCCGCCGUAA
RNAcentral lists this ribosomal RNA (498 nucleotides) under uncultured bacterium. RNAcentral describes it as "partial 16S ribosomal RNA". It matches the Rfam family "Bacterial small subunit ribosomal RNA", at positions 30 to 523 of the family's 1533-position model. The record is from RNAcentral.